CAGCAGCCGCGGGAACACGUAGGGUGCAAGCGUUAAUCGGAAUUACUGGGCGUAAAGCGUGCGCAGGCGGUUGUGUAAGUCUGAUGUGAAAGCCCCGGGCUCAACCUGGGAACUGCAUUGGAGACUGCACGGCUAGAGUGCGACAGAGGGGGGUAGAAUUCCGCGUGUAGCAGUGAAAUGCGUAGAGAUGCGGAGGAAUACCGAUGGCGAAGGCAGCCCCCUGGGAUGACACUGACGCUCAUGCACGAAAGCGUGGGGAGCAAACAGGAUUAGAUACCCGUGUAGUCCCUGUCUCUUAUAC
RNAcentral lists this ribosomal RNA (301 nucleotides) under uncultured bacterium. Its description in RNAcentral is "partial 16S ribosomal RNA". It matches the Rfam family "Bacterial small subunit ribosomal RNA", at positions 509 to 807 of the family's 1533-position model. The record is from RNAcentral.